AUUCAGUCAAGUAGCUAAUUUCUAAGUCCCCGGCAGCGGCGCUAAAAACUUGUUGCGACCAACAGAUACUCACGCAAGUGCACAUGAUCGUCAAGUAAUAAAGUAGUGGUAGCGUAUCGUUCCCAUGAAGACUUGUGAUUAACUAUUGAUUAAUUCAAGCCGAAUUAACUUAUCGAUCCAAGAUAUUUUCCACAAAAUAUAGUCAUCAUUAAUUUACUACAUAAAAUUAUCAAUGAAUGAAAUAACUAGAAUAAUCAACCAAACAAAU
RNAcentral lists this long non-coding RNA (268 nucleotides) under Nicotiana benthamiana. RNAcentral describes it as "long non-coding RNA (NBEN_LNC001482)". The record is from RNAcentral. Lineage: Eukaryota; Viridiplantae; Streptophyta; Magnoliopsida; Solanales; Solanaceae.